RNAcentral lists this long non-coding RNA (1163 nucleotides) under Lonchura striata (white-rumped munia). RNAcentral's name for it is "domestica (Bengalese finch) lncRNA (ENSLSDG00000010151.1)". Lineage: Eukaryota; Metazoa; Chordata; Aves; Passeriformes; Estrildidae. The record is from RNAcentral.
CCCCGCGGCUGUUCCCCACCGGAGCCGCUCCAUCUGGUUGCUCGACCACAAGCUGCCCCCUGGAUUUUAAGGAUUUUAAGAAAUUGAAGUCACUGGCUGAUGCCUCGGCUAUCCUGCCGUGCUUUCCCCCGCCCCGGGCCCCGCCAGCUCCUGCCCCGGCCGCCCGUCAGCCUCGGCCGAGAGCGGCCUGAGCGCGUCUGCAGCCGGACCGGGGCCGAGCCUGGAUCUGCAGCCGGACCGGGGCCGAGCCUGGAUCUGCAGCCGGACCGGGGCCGAGCNUGGAUCUGCAGCCGGACCGGGGCCGAGCUUGGAUCUACAGCCGGACCGGGGCCGAGCCUGGAUCUGCAGCCGGACCCGCGUCCGAGCUUGGAUCUAUAGCCGGACCCGCGUCCGAGCUUGGAUCUCCAGCCAGAUCCGCGUCCGAGCCUUGGGUCUGCAGCCGCGCCGCCCCACAGGAGCCUCGGCAGCCUGCUGGCUUUGUCCUGCCCCCCUGCUUCCCACAAAAGGCUCAGCUUCACUCGUCCUGCCAAGGACAGGGUGUAACAUCGCUCUGCAUCUUCUUCCAGCCGACUUGUAUGUGGAGGCUUCCCGGGCAGAGAGGUGGCCUGUCAAAGAAGCAUUUCUCCCUUCGAUCAUUAGAAUGGCCUGUGCCAAACUUCCUCAAUUCCCUAGAUGACACUUGGCGUUUGUGCUGCGGCUCACGGGUGGCAGGCACAUAGUUUAAAAAAUACAUCUUCCAGCAAUUUGUUGCCCGAGCUGGUGCUUCCCCAGUCUUUCCUGAUGCCCGAAUUUUGUGUUUUUACUUCAGCCCCCAGCUGCCAUGGGACAGACUUUGUGAAAUUAUUUGGUUUAAUGAGCAAAUACUAACUUUUCAUAAUCAGCACCACAAACGGAGAUUUCUUUGGCAAUCUCAUCAGAACAGUAGCAAAUGAAUGACCAGGCAACUGAAUUUAAUCUCUCUCCAACUGGGAAGGGUGUAUACUUUACUCCUGUUUUAUGGAAAUAGAGCUUCAGUUUCCAGAGCCAUUAACCACAACUGUUACAUGUAAUUCAAAAAUAUUUAAAGGGCUGUGAAAACAAGAUGUACAUGAUUUUGUAAUAUUUUAAUUUAUAUACCUUGAUUAAUAUAAGUUACAGGCAAAUAAAAACCAUUGUAGUAUCCA